This 375-nucleotide RNase P RNA is filed under the name Salmonella enterica subsp. enterica serovar Lexington. RNAcentral's name for it is "RNase P RNA component class A". It matches the Rfam family "Bacterial RNase P class A". From Rfam's summary of the family: Ribonuclease P (RNase P) is a ubiquitous endoribonuclease, found in archaea, bacteria and eukarya as well as chloroplasts and mitochondria. Its best characterised activity is the generation of mature 5'-ends of tRNAs by cleaving the 5'-leader elements of precursor-tRNAs. The record is from RNAcentral. Lineage: Bacteria; Pseudomonadati; Pseudomonadota; Gammaproteobacteria; Enterobacterales; Enterobacteriaceae.
GAAGCUGACCAGACAGUCGCCGCUUCGUCGUCGUCCUUUCGGGGAGACGGGCGGAGGGGAGGAAAGUCCGGGCUCCAUAGGGCAGGGUGCCAGGUAACGCCUGGGGGGGAAACCCACGACCAGUGCAACAGAGAGCAAACCGCCGAUGGCCCACGUAAGUGGGAUCAGGUAAGGGUGAAAGGGUGCGGUAAGAGCGCACCGCGCGGCUGGUAACAGUCCGUGGCACGGUAAACUCCACCCGGAGCAAGGCCAAAUAGGGGUUCAUAAGGUACGGCCCGUACUGAACCCGGGUAGGCUGCUUGAGCCAGUGAGCGAUUGCUGGCCUAGAUGAAUGGCUGUCCACGACAGAACCCGGCUUAUCGGUCAGUUUCACCU